UUUGAGCUAUUGACUUUGUCUAUGUCUACUGACGAGGAGGCAAAGAAGAAAGCUCGGCUUGCCAGAUUUGCUCCAUUUUCAUAGAGUAUCCUUUGAUUCAAUAAGAAGCUAUAAGUCUUAUGUUCAAUCAAGCUAUUAUCCAUUUAACCAAUUGGACAAGCCGAGCUCUUAACCAAUAACCAUUUAGUUCCUCGUAUCCUGAACCUUUUUAGUUGAAGGAUGCGGCCAUUUCUUUUGUUUGAAAUGUAUAAUAUUGGACUCCAUUAGACGGAGGUGAGGUUUAAAAUGUCCAGAACUGUUCUCUCUUCAUCAAAAUUGAAGGGUCCACUAAAAUUAUUUAGACUAUCAUUAUCCUCGCUUUUCCAAUUCUCAAGCAAGCUCUUUUGAGUUCGAUCCAAGUAAAAUGGUAGGAAGGGGGAUGUACCUGUUGUUCAGUAAUCAAUCUAGAAUGUAUAAUUCCUGAUUCUGUUUUCGGGAAGUACACGAUUCUAUGGAAAGCACGACAGUGGCCUCAAAGAAGUUCGAAUUGAUUUUCAUUGGUGUCGCUGAGUUGCUUCUUUCUCCACAUUUGCACACUGAAAUCCUGAUGCAUAGUAUUACUAUUGUCAUCCAGGGCCUUUUUUUGAGUCGGGGAAUAAGAUGUGACGACAUGAGGAGGUUUGAAACCAUUCUUUCCUACAGAACAAAGUGUUUAUUUUUUUGUUUUUGUUGCUCUUAAGGAUUUGUCAGAGGGAAAAACUAAAAAUUUUGUUGAUUGACUGACACAAGGUGAUCGAUUGAAAAUCAGAGGCUUCCUUAAUUCUAAGAACGCAUGUAUAUCACCUGUUGCUUCUUCCUCUAUCCCCAUAGCAGUUACUAGCACAAGGUCUCUGCCCUCAUCAUUUUGCUGCUCUGGUUGUUAUACUUGAAAAGGUAUGAUACGGCAGGGCUCUUUGGUCGUGAUCGAGAAUGGCAGACAGAGCCCAUAAGUGUUUAGGAUUGCUUCAAGGACCUUGUGUCUGCUUACACUCGGCUAGGAAUUUUCAGACGAAGGGAGACCUCCUCUGAUUGACAAGGAACAAGGGGAGGGCCUACCAUUGAUCAAAUGAGGAUCUAAGAACACAACUACAACAGAAAUGUCAUCGUGAAAAUGCCUUCUCACACCUCUAUCUAUCUUUUUCAGUUUCCACCAAGUUGAACCAUAAAUUCAAGACAACUUUUGCAACGAAUAUGAAAGGAGAUAGUCAUCAAUUCAAUCAACAUGGUGGUUUAUGAGAAGAUGUAUUCUUACAUUUCGAGAAUAGCUG
Cucurbita moschata (crookneck pumpkin) is the source of this 1286-nucleotide long non-coding RNA. RefSeq lists it as uncharacterized. The record is from RefSeq and is a predicted model, not a curated record. NCBI's taxonomy places the organism in Eukaryota, Viridiplantae, Streptophyta, Magnoliopsida, Cucurbitales, Cucurbitaceae. The transcript is spliced from 4 exons.